Sapajus apella (tufted capuchin) is the source of this 3228-nucleotide long non-coding RNA. RefSeq lists it as uncharacterized. The record is from RefSeq and is a predicted model, not a curated record. The transcript is spliced from 2 exons. NCBI's taxonomy places the organism in Eukaryota, Metazoa, Chordata, Mammalia, Primates, Cebidae.
AUGAGUAUAUAUUUUGGGGUUAUAUGUGAACCUGCUGAUAGCAAGACCAAGCAAAAGAAGAACAUAUAUUCCCUUUGAGUAGUUUAUAAUGACCUAGGGCCCUAGAUGACAGGGAUAGUAACUAUAAUUUUUGGGGAAAUAUGUGGAAAUGCAAAAGAAAAAAAAAGUACCUGAUGAGAUAUAUAGACACACACACACACACACACACACACAAAUAUUAACUCCCAAGUUUGAAUUUCUCUGGGAAACAGCCACAAAAAAAUGCCUCAACUGUUUGCUAGCAACAUUCAUGGUUUUAUAAAGAAUAUAUCAGUGAUGGCCUGCUGGAAUAUCUGUCUUAUCAUAACGAGACUGUGAGAGCUUAUCAAGUACAGGAUACCUGUUGCUUAGAUGAACAAUUCUACAAGUAUGGAUGAAUAUUUAUGUUCAAAAACUGGCUAUCAAAGAUGGCUGGUUUAAAACAAACAAAACAGUAUAGACAAAUAUUACAAGGCAAGAAUAGUUUGGAUGAUGAUAUCCUGGAGAAAAAAAAUCACAUUUAGAGAAUGGGACUUGUCCACUAUCCAACAACUUUCUCUUUUACAGAUUCUGGCGCAAUGAACAUCAAUAAAAGUGAAGUCUUGAAUGUGACAGUUAUUCACUUAUUUGUCAGGGUGGUGACACAAUUGGACAACCAGCAACCUUGGGUUGGGGUAGGGGAGGAGUACAAGGAAUGUUUCAAAAACACCCCUGUGCAUUUUAAGUGACAGCUUCUUCUGCUUUCUUCUCUUCCCACAGCUGCUGGGGGUCCUGCACCCCAACCCAGCCUAGAUGAUAUUCCCAUUUGUUGUACCUAAAAGCAGAGCUUCUCAACCUCCUUACAUUGUGACAGAACUAAAAAAUGACAUUUGUUCUACACUAUAGUAUGCAGAUGGGUAAAAAUGUGAAAACAAUAAGCCAUAAGCCCCUGUGCUUUGAGUAGAUCAUAUCCUGCACAACUAUGCUAGUGGCUGGGUAGCAAGCGCUGACCUAGAGGUUGCUCCUGGGAAUAGCAAAGUUAAGAUUAUCCAUAGAAUACAAAGAAAGAGUAUUUUGAUAAUAGUUGAUACCAAAAAUCUGGAGGUAGUGCAAAAGAAAAGAAAGGAAAAAAGAAAGAGCACAGCUGGACUUUCAAGAAGCUAUCUCUUAUAAUCUCAGUAAAAUUCUAUCUGAUUUUUAUUCUUGUAUGUAGUUCUGGAUUUUACAACUAAACCUAUCAUUACAAGGUUAUGGAAAAUAGAAGGAAUAAGAAACAUGAAAUAGAAAACCAGGCAAAUCAAAAACUCUAAAGGUGUAUCCAAAACAAUGGUGGACACCUGCUAUAUUUGCUUUAAAAUGAGUGGCACUGUUGUGUGCAAUUUAAGUUUGUUAAGGAGAUAUUUAACUUCUCUGAAAAGAGAAGAAGAACACUUGGUAAGCAAACCCAAAACGGUGCACUAAUAUUGGCAGGCUGGAGGUCAGAAAGAGCUUAUAAAAUAUUAAACCCCAAAGAAGGUUGAAUUGAAUAUGCUAAGAAAGGGUACCUUGUAUUAGUAUCUUGUGAUCAUGUGGCCAGAAGGAAAUUUUUUUUUGUUUUUGGAGGAAAACAACAGAGGCUAUAAAUGGUUUCACAUACACUUUGGAAAAGAACACCUUGUCUUCCCUCUACCUUUGUUCUCGGUUGGAAGAAAAAAAAGAUUAAAUGGUUGGCAGAGGAACACCUGAAACCCAUAAAUAAGUAGGGCUUUGACGGAAUUAGCAAAGGAGAAGCCCAGACCAGGAGGCUGGCUAAGCUGUGAGGGAGGGAAGCCAGAAACCAAGAAGAGCUGAAUGAUUAUGCUUCUAGUUAAGAGAGAGCAGAGAGAAAGGAAGGGAAUUCAGGGCUGUCUGAAGAAGGGGCAUGGUCACCGGAACCAAGAGACUGGAGGAUAUUCCUGGAUCUGAUUUCCUUUAUCCAGUUUCUCUCUGAUCCUCUGUAUCAGUCCUCUUUCCCUCUUCAUUUGUCUGUCAUUCUUUCCUCCUUAAUAACUUACUAAUUUCCCUCUUUCCCAGCCCUAGUCUCUUCUUGUUCCUACUCACUCAUCAUUCUAAAGUACUCUUACUUAAAAAUACUUGAUUAAAGUACUCUUACUAUUCUAAAAUAUUCUUACUAUCCUAGGAUAAUGUCACUCUUUCAAUAUUUCACUUUUCCAGUUCAUUUUUCAUUCAUUUUUGUUCAAAGAGACACUGGCAUUCUUUUACCCAUGUAAAUGUGUGGAUACUGGGCUAUAAGGUACCAAAGAGAGGGCCUCUGGAGAGUUUGAGGCAUCAUGCUAUAAAAGACAGCAAUGGUGGCUGUUUCCUUCAAGAUACACUCAUGACUUUAUCUAAAUAUUUCUAAAUCCAAAAUUUUAUGAAAAGAAGACAUAAUUAACUUGAUAGUUACCAAGUUCUCAUAAAAAGAAAUUAAAAAGCAAGGGUAGAAUAGGGGUAAUUAAUAUUAGUAGUAUAAAAGAGUCAAUCACAAGACAUUUAAUGUUUGGGAAUAUUUCACUCAAUUCUAGAGUCACUUUUCUAUGAAACCCAAAUAGAAAGGCAUGGGAAAUAUUUUUGUGAGAAAGCUAAGACAGAAAUGUUUUACUUGAAAUUAAGUCCCAUGAGGUAAUAAAGGGAUUGUGGUUAGGAGCUUACCAACCUGGGGCUCUUAGAUAUCAUGAAAUUCCCAAUUAGAUAUCAUUUUUCUUUUAAGGGGCUGGAUUCCAUUUUUUGUCCCUUCAAGGGAAGGAUCUAAUGAAGCCAAUGCUCAUGACAGUAUAAAUAGCAUGCUCUCUACUUUGAGAUCAACAGGCCAGAUUCUCUCUUAAUAAAAGUUUGGGAGGGGGAAUAUGGUUUUGUCAAGGUAACCCUGAUUUUUUCUGUGCUCUAUCUAAAUAGUUAAUCAUAUUGAUUAUAUAGCUUUUACAGUGGCCUGCAAAUUUUGGCUGAACUAUAUGACAUCUUCACUUCAGGGAUAUAGGGGGUGGGAUCUAUUCAUAAAAUGAUGCCAAAACGCAAUGUGUAAACAUUGUCAUGCUCAACUGUGGCCAAAGGCCUGUUGACAGACUAUUCUUUCAUCUAUUAACAGGACAGGCAGCAUUUGGCAGCAGUUUAGAGCUAAAUUGGGAGUGGGGACCCCUUCCUCCCAGCUACACUUCUGUAGCCCCAUCUCUCUCAGGACAUCUUUCUUCACCUCCAAAUUGUAAAAAUUGCUUA